AUGGUUGUCAAAGUAAAGUACAGAACAGAACAGAAAUUUGUGAAGAUUUCUGAUAAUGAAGUGAAGCUUGUGGAACUAUUUAAUGGAGUUUUCAAGAAAUUUGGAAUCCCUCUCGAUCCCUAUCUGAUGCUAAACUUUUUGAUGACACAAAAACUGAGCUAGAUGAAGAGGUAUUUGAGGAGGUGGUGGUCUCCAACCGCGAUCUUGGUCGUGUUUAUGAACUCUCCCUUGACAUUACACCUGAAGGUCAUAGAGGAAAAAGAGGCCUGGAGGAGGCCAGAUAAUAAAGGAAUACGGGAGGACAAACGCACUUACAGAUGCAACGAGACGGAAAAUGGUCAACAUGGUUGUUGCCAACAUGACUGAAAUUCAUGGGUAAUCAUUUCUUUAACAACAUUGGAACAUAGUCAUCUCCAACUAUUGUAAUUCACUAUUAGCUGUCUUACCUGCUUGUAUAAUAAGAUAAUUACAGCUGAUUCAGAAUGCUGGAGCAUGCCUGGUCUUCAAUCAGCCAAAGAGGUGUAACGAUCCUGUGUUCCCUGUCCCUCCUUUGUUUACCUCCUGUGCCAUGUGCU
This is a long non-coding RNA of Alosa sapidissima (American shad), 575 nucleotides long. RefSeq lists it as uncharacterized. Lineage: Eukaryota; Metazoa; Chordata; Actinopteri; Clupeiformes; Clupeidae. The transcript has 3 exons. The record is from RefSeq and is a predicted model, not a curated record.